This 253-nucleotide ribosomal RNA is filed under the name uncultured bacterium. Its description in RNAcentral is "partial 16S ribosomal RNA". It matches the Rfam family "Bacterial small subunit ribosomal RNA", at positions 524 to 776 of the family's 1533-position model. The record is from RNAcentral.
UACAGAGGGUGCGAGCGUUAAUCGGAAUUACUGGGCGUAAAGCGCGCGUAGGCGGCUUUGCAAGUCGGGUGUGAAAUCCCCAGGCUUAACCUGGGAACUGCAUUCGAAACUGCAUUGCUAGAGUAUGGGAGAGGGAAGUGGAAUUUCCGGUGUAGCGGUGAAAUGCGUAGAUAUCGGAAGGAACAUCAGUGGCGAAAGCGACUUCCUGGACCAAUACUGACGCUCAUGUGCGAAAGCGUGGGUAGCAAACAGG